This is a non-coding RNA of Pelobates cultripes (western spadefoot toad), 493 nucleotides long. Lineage: Eukaryota; Metazoa; Chordata; Amphibia; Anura; Pelobatidae. The record is from the annotation of a GenBank genome assembly.
AUCUGUGAGGAGAUACUAUUUCAUGUCAUUACAGUGAUUUUCAUUUUUACCACAUGUUUAAGGAUAGUAAAAGAAAGUAUAUUGUUACAUGUGCAUUACAUUUACACAUACUAGAGAAUGAAUGCAUGAGAUUGUCCCUACUUACACCCUGGUUUUACAUCAUCGGACAUCAACACAGCAUAUAGAACAGUGACUGCUAAACUUGGAAUCCCAGGAACCGCAAAAACUUAAAGGAACACUGGCAUCAAACAUGUUUAAUAUCUUAAUAUAAUAUUUAUGUUGUUUAUGUCAUCUAAUUAAUGCUUCUCAAUCCAUAAAUAUUGAAAUUUCUGAACAAAUCACUUGCCUGCCUUUCCACUCCCCUUUCUGAUUUUUUCUUCUUUUAAUGCACCUUGGUUCAGACUGUCAGUUAUCCUUUAUUCUUGUCAGUUACACCCGCCCAGCAAUCCAGAGCUCAAUUUUGGGAGGGGUACUGACAUAUUAUAUUGUUAUG